AGAGUUUGAUCAUGGCUCAGGAUGAACGCUGGCGGCAUGCAUAACACAUGCAAGUCUACUUGAGUUUGUAAGCUUGCUUACAAGCUAGGGUGGCGAACGGGUGAGUAACACUUAAAUAACCUGCCCCUAAGACUGGGAUAACUAUGCGAAAGUGUAGCUAAUACCGGAUGGUCUUUGUAUUCAUAAGAGUACUUAAGUAA
This 200-nucleotide ribosomal RNA is filed under the name uncultured bacterium. Its description in RNAcentral is "partial 16S ribosomal RNA". It matches the Rfam family "Bacterial small subunit ribosomal RNA", at positions 8 to 204 of the family's 1533-position model. The record is from RNAcentral.